AGCCCCGUGGUGUAGCGGUCAAGCAUGGCGGGCUCUGGACCCGCAGACGGCGGUUCGAAUCCGCCCGGGGCUA
RNAcentral lists this transfer RNA (73 nucleotides) under marine sediment metagenome. It matches the Rfam family "tRNA". Rfam says of the family: Transfer RNA (tRNA) molecules are approximately 80 nucleotides in length. Their secondary structure includes four short double-helical elements and three loops (D, anti-codon, and T loops). The record is from RNAcentral.